RNAcentral lists this ribosomal RNA (348 nucleotides) under Triticum aestivum (bread wheat). RNAcentral describes it as "partial small subunit ribosomal RNA". The record is from RNAcentral. Lineage: Eukaryota; Viridiplantae; Streptophyta; Magnoliopsida; Poales; Poaceae.
CCGAAUGUGUGCAUCCUUCAUGACAGACAUGCAGGUAUACUCAGUGCGAUAAGGACACUGACAAACCCAGGCCCUGAGGAACAAGUUCCAUGGCAGGACUUGCAGAGCCGUUGGUGCAUGCGCCAUCUCGGGGCUAAUUUCUUCUCGCAGUUUAGAAAUAAGAACCUGAUGAAUCUGUUCAAAAAACUCUGCAAGCAGAACCAGUUAUGGAAGUACAAUUUGAUACGCGACAGACUUAAUGUGUGCACGCAGAGACACGUGAGGGACAGGAAAGCUGCAAGAGAUGCAGCGGUGAGGGCACAUGUUGAAGCAGUAGCUGCACAGUUGGCAACAGGAACAGCGGCCGUG